CUGAGUUACUCAGCACCACUAGCAGCUCUCGCUGCUCCCAAGCACAGGUGUGCUCCUGAAGGUGACUCCAUAGAAGCCGUUUCAGACAGAUUGAGUUUGAGAGAGGAAGUGACUCUGAGUCCAGACUGCCCCGCACCACUGUCAGAGGAAAGAACUGAAGUCAAAUGAAGUGACAAUCUCCUGUAGAAUAUUUAACAGAGCGCGAGGCAGAGGAAAAUGGCAAUCUGGGAAUAGACAACUGAGCCCCAAAACAGACACAGACUCCAGUGCCAGAACAGAUGCCAAGUACAGUAGAUCAUAAAAUGGGAAAAUUACCUCUGCCCCGUGGGCUGUGUGUUGACACAGAGGGGGAAAGGGCUCCCCAGCAGCCAGCGUAGCUGGCUCUCUACUCCCGCUCGGAGUGAUGGUUGUCAGGGACCCUGCCAGCUCCGCUUCCUGCUCCUCUCUGUGUUUCCACCGGUGACAGAGCUGCGCUUACUGACUGGUGCACUGAUAGAAACUGAAGCACGCAGGAGAGGUCCAGCAGAUUCAGCAUUCUGUAAUUACACCAACCUUGUUGGCUCAAAGUACCCCUAGAGGAAUCUGUGUAACCUAGCAGCUAUGAGGAACCCAAGGAGCCUCUGAGACAGCAUUGCAUGGAUUCUUCGUCCGUGAACAAUUUGUUUCAUCACACACUAGGACACCCGUUUUGGAGGUACUUGUCAUCACUCUGACUGCAUAAUAUGAAAGGUUGCCAAGAGUUCUUCGCUGCUUUUCAGAUUCACUUGUCAUAAACAAAAUAUGUGAUUAAGUGCCAUUUUCUCUAAAAGGAACUCGAUUUGAUUCUCUACUUGGGAACAAAAAGGGAGAAGUAAAAGAGUAUUAGAUCUUAGUUAUUCCUUGCUUUUUUAAUCCCCAACAUCUAGAAUUAUAUGAGCAUAAUGGGUAUGCAGGUUAAAUUGGGUACUGUCACAUUUUUAAAGGCACUAUUUUAAUUUUUAAAGGAGUAUAAGUGUUUUUCUACAGAAUGCAACAAUGUAAACCAGCUCCGGUAGAUAUAUUAUUAUCCCUAUGGUUCAGCAGAUAAAUUUUUAGUUUUCAUAAUCUGAACAUGUUGCAGUAGGUUGGAUUUUCAAAGAUGGCUGCAACAAUAUCUUCCAUCAACAAUCCCUUCUUAUGAUGUGGUUUUCCCCUUCCUCCCAACAGGAGGUAGAUUCAACCCUCUGCUCUUAAAACUGGGUGGGCUUUUGUGGCUAUUUUGACCAGUAGAUUAGGGCAGAAGCCACUCCUUGUGACUUCUGAGGUUAAGUUAUCCCAGUGAACGCAAUCCAACUAUCCGAAGACGUCCAUGCUGCAAGGAAGCCCAAACGACCAUGUGCAAAGGGCCCACAUGAAAAGGCCUGAAGUUACCUGAAGAGAGAGAGAGAUGCCAAGGCAAUCCCCAGAUGCUCUGCCCCUUCCACCUCUGCUGUCACAGCGCCAGCCGCCAUCUGACCGUAACCACAUGAGAAACUUGGAGCAAGAACUACCCAGCUGAGUCCUGCCAGGAUCUCAGAGCCACAGAAACCAUACAAGAUAAUAAAAUGAUUGUUCUCCUAA
Long non-coding RNA from Camelus dromedarius (Arabian camel), 1578 nucleotides. RefSeq lists it as uncharacterized. Lineage: Eukaryota; Metazoa; Chordata; Mammalia; Artiodactyla; Camelidae. The transcript is spliced from 4 exons. The record is from RefSeq and is a predicted model, not a curated record.